Molecule: ribosomal RNA, 441 nt
Filed under: uncultured bacterium
Lineage: Bacteria
Description: bacterial SSU rRNA
Rfam family: Bacterial small subunit ribosomal RNA
Source: RNAcentral
AACGCGAAGAACCUUACCUAGGCUUGACAUGCAGAAGAUCGCACCAGAGAUGGUGCUUCCCUUCGGGGCUUCUGCACAGGUGCUGCAUGGCUGUCGUCAGCUCGUGCCGUGAGGUGUUGGGUUAAGUCCCGCAACGAGCGCAACCCUUAUCGUUAGUUGCCAACAGUUUCGGCUGGGUACUCUAACGAGACUGCCUGGGUUAACCAGGAGGAAGGCGAGGAUGACGUCAAGUCCGCAUGGCCCUUAUGUCUAGGGCUACACACGUGCUACAAUGGUCGGUACAAUAGGCAGCAAAGCCGCGAGGUAGAGCAAAUCCUACAAAGCCGAUCCCAGUUCAGAUUGUAGUCUGCAACUCGACUACAUGAAGUUGGAAUUGCUAGUAAUGGCGAGUCAGCAACAUCGCCGUGAAUACGUUCCCGGGCCUUGUACACACCGCUCGUC